CAGCAGCCGCGGUAAUACGGAGGGUGCGAGCGUUAAUCGGAAUUACUGGGCGUAAAGCGUACGCAGGCGGUUUGUUAAGUCAGAUGUGAAAUCCCCGAGCUUAACUCGGGAACUGCAUUUGAAACUGGCAGGCUAGAGUCUCGUAGAGGGGGGUAGAAUUCCAGGUGUAGCGGUGAAAUGCGUAGAGAUCGGAAAGAACACCAACGGCGAAAGCACUCUGCUGGGCCGACACUGACACUGAGAGACGAAAGCUAGGGGAGCAAAUGGGAUUAGAUACCCCCGUAGUCCCUGUCUCUUAUAC
RNAcentral lists this ribosomal RNA (301 nucleotides) under uncultured bacterium. Its description in RNAcentral is "partial 16S ribosomal RNA". It matches the Rfam family "Bacterial small subunit ribosomal RNA", at positions 509 to 807 of the family's 1533-position model. The record is from RNAcentral.